UAGGGAAUCUUCGGCAAUGGACGAAAGUCUGACCGAGCAACGCCGCGUGAGUGAAGAAGGUUUUCGGAUCGUAAAACUCUGUUGUUAGAGAAGAACAAGGACGUUAGUAACUGAACGUCCCCUGACGGUAUCUAACCAGAAAGCAACGGCUAACUACGUGCCAGCAGCCGCGGUAAUACGUAGGUGGCAAGCGUUGUCCGGAUUUAUUGGGCGUAAAGCGAGCGCAGGCGGUUUCUUAAGUCUGAUGUGAAAGCCCCCGGCUCAACCGGGGAGGGUCAUUGGAAACUGGGAGACUUGAGUGCAGAAGAGGAGAGUGGAAUUCCAUGUGUAGCGGUGAAAUGCGUAGAUAUAUGGAGGAACACCAGUGGCGAAGGCGGCUCUCUGGUCUGUAACUGACGAUGAGGCUCGAAAGCGUGGGGAGCAAACAGG
Molecule: ribosomal RNA, 429 nt
Filed under: Gemmatimonadota bacterium
Lineage: Bacteria; Pseudomonadati; Gemmatimonadota
Description: Gemmatimonadetes bacterium partial 16S ribosomal RNA
Rfam family: Bacterial small subunit ribosomal RNA
Source: RNAcentral